RNAcentral lists this RNase P RNA (366 nucleotides) under Bifidobacterium simiarum. RNAcentral's name for it is "Bacterial RNase P class A". It matches the Rfam family "Bacterial RNase P class A". Rfam says of the family: Ribonuclease P (RNase P) is a ubiquitous endoribonuclease, found in archaea, bacteria and eukarya as well as chloroplasts and mitochondria. Lineage: Bacteria; Bacillati; Actinomycetota; Actinomycetes; Bifidobacteriales; Bifidobacteriaceae. The record is from Rfam by way of RNAcentral.
CGAGACCUCUUGAUGGCCGCGACCCAAGUCCUGAACAGGACGCGGGUUGAGGAACUUCCGGGCUCCGCAGAGCACGAUGGCGGAUAACGUCCGCCCAGGGCGACCUGAGAGAUAGCGCAACAGAGAACAGACCGCCCGCUUCGCGCGGGUAAGGGUGAAACGGCGGUGUAAGAGACCACCGGGCGACCGGUAACGGGAGCCGCAUGGCAAGCCUCAUCGGGAGCAAGGCCAAGCAGAAGACGUCAAGGGCUGCUCGCCCGUGUCUUCGGGUAGGCUGCUAGAGCCUGGCGGCGACGUCAGGUCGAGAUGGAUGGCCAUCCGCGUGGCGACACGCGACAGAACCCGGGGUAUAAGAGGUCUCAUCCC